GGCUGGGCGCUGCAGCAGAAGCCCGGGACUGUCACGGCGGCUGCUGGCUCUGACUGGCCUGCGGCUGGCUUCACCACCCAACUCCAGGAUCCCAGCGGUGAACACCUACCUCCGGCUAAGAAGGAACGCAGCCAGUAGAAGUCUCGGCGAGAGGUCGGGCCCCCGCUCCCCGCCGCCUGCGGCACCGCGGGUGGAGGCUCGGCCGCCGCCAGGGCCGCUGCAGCCACCAGGGCCGCCAUCCGGACCUGCGCCACGUCCCGAGCCUCCGCUGCCAACUUACAAAACACUAGGAAGCACCAUGGCUGUUGCCGGCUCUGACAGGAGCCGAGCUGCCGCGCGGGCGGGGCUAAAUGAUGCCCGUGGCGCGGCGGCACGGAAUGAUGACGCACGCGGCCG
This 396-nucleotide long non-coding RNA is filed under the name Rattus norvegicus (Norway rat). RNAcentral's name for it is "long non-coding RNA NONRATT017358". Lineage: Eukaryota; Metazoa; Chordata; Mammalia; Rodentia; Muridae. The record is from RNAcentral.